GGCUCCAUAGUGUAGUGGUUAGAACGUCUGCUUUAUACGCAGAAGGUCCUGGGUUUGUGCCCAGGUGGAGCCA
Molecule: transfer RNA, 73 nt
Filed under: Pteropus alecto (black flying fox)
Lineage: Eukaryota; Metazoa; Chordata; Mammalia; Chiroptera; Pteropodidae
Also listed under: 1 other name
Rfam family: tRNA
About the family: Transfer RNA (tRNA) molecules are approximately 80 nucleotides in length.
Source: Rfam by way of RNAcentral